CAAUAGCGUAUAUUAAAGUUGUUGCAGUUAAAAAGCUCGUAGUUGGAUUUGUGGCGUACGGUGUGUUCCGGGCACUUGUUGUCUGAGUAACCUGCUGUUGCCAUCCUUGGGUGGAACCUGUGUGGCAUUAGGUUGUCGUGCAGGGGAUGCCCAUCAUUUACUGUGAAAAAAUUAGAGUGUUCAAUGCAGGCUUAUGCCGUUGAAUAUAUUAGCAUGGAAUAAUGAGAUAGGACUUUUUUGCUAUUUUGUUGGUUUGCGCAAGAAGGUAAUGAUUAAUAGGGACAGUUGGGGGUAUUCGUAUUCCAUUGUCAGAGGUGAAAUUCUUGGAUUUUUGGAAGACGAACUACUGCGAAAGCAUUUACCAAGGAUGUUUUCAUUAA
Molecule: ribosomal RNA, 380 nt
Filed under: uncultured eukaryote
Lineage: Eukaryota
Description: partial 18S ribosomal RNA
Rfam family: Eukaryotic small subunit ribosomal RNA
Source: RNAcentral